UGGCGAACGGCGGAGUAAUACAUAAGCAACGUGCCCUGAAGACUGGGAUAGUCAGAGGAAACUCUGGGUAAUACCAGAUGUGGUCAUCACCCGGCAUCGGGAGAUGAUUAAAUGGUUUUUCGCUUCAGGAGCGGCUUAUGGCCUAUCAGGUAGUUGGUGGGGUAAUGGCCUACCAAGCCGACGACGGGUAGCGGGUCUGAGAGGAUGAUCCGCUCGAGUGGGACUGAGACACGGCCCACACACCUACGGGUGGCAGCAGUUGGGAAUCUUGCACAAUGGGGGAAACCCUGAUGCAGCGACGCCGCGUGGAGGAUGAAGGAUCUAGGUCUGUAAACUCCUUUUUCAGGGAAAGACUUAGGACGGUACCCUGAGAAUAAGGACCGGCUAACUACGUGCCAGCAGCCGCGGUAAGACGUAGGGUCCAAGCGUUGUCCGGAUUUACUGGGCGUAAAGAGCGCGUAGGCGGUCUGUUAAGUGUAGAGUGAAAUCUCCAGGGCUCAACCCGGAAACUGCUCUGCAUACUGGCAGACUGGAGUGAUGCAGAGGUUUGUGGAAUUCCUGGUGUAACGGUGAAAUGUGUUGAUAUCAGGAGGAACACCCAUGGCGAAGGCAGCAAACUGGGCAUUAACUGACGCUGAGGCGCGAAAGCGUGGGUAGCAAACAGGAUUAGAUACCCUGGUAGUCCACGCCCUAAACGAUGGAUACUAGGCGUAAGAGGUAUCGACCCCUCUUGUGCCGCAGCUAACGCAUUAAGUAUCCCGCCUGGGGAGUACGGCCGCAAGGUUGAAAC
RNAcentral lists this ribosomal RNA (790 nucleotides) under uncultured bacterium. RNAcentral's name for it is "bacterial SSU rRNA". It matches the Rfam family "Bacterial small subunit ribosomal RNA", at positions 96 to 900 of the family's 1533-position model. The record is from RNAcentral.